UACAGAGGUCUCAAGCGUUGUUCGGAUUCAUUGGGCGUAAAGGGUGCGUAGGUGGCGCUGUAAGUCGGGUGUGAAAUUUCGGAGCUUAACUCCGAAACUGCAUUCGAUACUGCGGUGCUUGAGGACUGGAGAGGAGACUGGAAUUCAUGGUGUAGCAGUGAAAUGCGUAGAGAUCAGGAGGAACACCGGUGGCGAAGGCGGGUCUCUGGGCCGAUACUGACGCUGAGGAGCGAAAGCGUGGGGAGCGAACAGG
Molecule: ribosomal RNA, 253 nt
Filed under: uncultured bacterium
Lineage: Bacteria
Description: partial 16S ribosomal RNA
Rfam family: Bacterial small subunit ribosomal RNA
Source: RNAcentral